UGCAUGAUUAACACCUGGGAACGUGCCUUUAGGUUCGGAAUAACUCAGGGAAACUUGUGCUAAUACCGAAUGUGCCCUUCGGGGGAAAGAUUUAUCGCCUUUAGAGCGGCCCGCGUCUGAUUAGCUAGUUGGUGAGGUAAAGGCUCACCAAGGCGACGAUCAGUAGCUGGUCUGAGAGGAUGAUCAGCCACAUUGGGACUGAGACACGGCCCAAACUCCUACGGGAGGCAGCAGUGGGGAAUCUUGCGCAAUGGGCGAAAGCCUGACGCACCAUGCCGCGUGAAUGAUGAAGGUCUUAGGAUUGUAAAAUUCUUUCACCGGGGACGAUAAUGACGGUACCCGGAGAAGAACCCCGGCUAACUUCGUGCCAGCAGCCGCGGUAAUACGAANGGGGCUAGCGUUGCUCGGAAUUACUGGGCGUAAANGGAGCGUAAGCGGACAUUUAAGUCANGGGUGAAAUCCCGGGGCUCAACCUCGGAAUUGCCUUUGAUACUGGGUGUCUUGAGUAUGA
Molecule: ribosomal RNA, 511 nt
Filed under: Brevundimonas vesicularis
Lineage: Bacteria; Pseudomonadati; Pseudomonadota; Alphaproteobacteria; Caulobacterales; Caulobacteraceae
Description: bacterial SSU rRNA
Rfam family: Bacterial small subunit ribosomal RNA
Source: RNAcentral